Molecule: long non-coding RNA, 451 nt
Organism: Anguilla anguilla (European eel)
Lineage: Eukaryota; Metazoa; Chordata; Actinopteri; Anguilliformes; Anguillidae
Exons: 3
Source: RefSeq, a predicted model, not a curated record
GGCGCGCGGAUCGCUUUUAUUUAUGGACCGGCGGAGUAAAACGGAGAUACGGCCCCUGGUGUCAGCAAAUGUACCUUCCCGGUGGAGAACCGCUGGAUUGCGAAAAGAAGAAAACGUAACCCCUCUGGUUCCCAACAAGAAAACAUCCCACAACGAAAGGAGGAACACAUGAAUCAUCCCAAAUCUAAUUCCAGGUCCUCGCAUGCCCUUGGACAAAAUGGCCGUCAGAAGGCAUUCGGUGCUGUGGGGAAUCUCCCAGUCCUCCGUGUUUGGUUUUCUAAUCCCCGUUAAAUGUGUCCGGAGAGGAGGAACACACAAAAGCGGUCGCUUUAAUCUCUGGACCGGGACGGAGACGGAGCAGGAGCUGGUCCCAGGACGUACGCCAGGACGACGGGAGAGGUGAGAGAGGACGCUGAUCAGGUGUUGAACCAGGCCACUCAGGGGGCAGACA